GAUGAACGCUGGCGGCGUGCCUAAUACAUGCAAGUCGAGCGAACAGACGAGGAGCUUGCUCCUCUGACGUUAGCGGCGGACGGGUGAGUAACACGUGGAUAACCUACCUAUAAGACAGGGAUAACUUCGGGAAACCGGAGCUAAUACCGGAUAAUAUAUUGAACCGCAUGGUUCAAUAGUGAAAGACGGUUUUGCUGUCACUUAUAGAUGGAUCCGCGCCGCAUUAGCUAGUUGGUAAGGUAACGGCUUACCAAGGCAACGAUGCGUAGCCGACCUGAGAGGGUGAUCGGCCACACUGGAACUGAGACACGGUCCAGACUCCUACGGGAGGCAGCAGUAGGGAAUCUUCCGCAAUGGGCGAAAGCCUGACGGAGCAACGCCGCGUGAGUGAUGAAGGUCUUCGGAUCGUAAAACUCUGUUAUUAGGGAAGAACAAAUGUGUAAGUAACUAUGCACGUCUUGACGGCACCUAAUCAGAAAGCCACGGCUAACUACGUG
This 497-nucleotide ribosomal RNA is filed under the name uncultured bacterium. Its description in RNAcentral is "partial 16S ribosomal RNA". It matches the Rfam family "Bacterial small subunit ribosomal RNA", at positions 28 to 507 of the family's 1533-position model. The record is from RNAcentral.